RNAcentral lists this ribosomal RNA (1349 nucleotides) under metagenome. Its description in RNAcentral is "bacterial LSU rRNA". It matches the Rfam family "Bacterial large subunit ribosomal RNA", at positions 1564 to 2925 of the family's 2925-position model. The record is from RNAcentral.
UGAGUACGAGCUGCUACGGCAGCGAAGUGGGUGACGUCAAGCUUCCAAGAAAAGCCCUAUACCCGUUAAGGCAUGAUGGCCUGUACCCGAAACCGACACAGGUGGGGUGGUAGAGAAUACCGAGGGGCGCGAGAUAACUCUCUCUAAGGAACUCGGCAAAAUGGCCCCGUAACUUCGGGAGAAGGGGUGCCACCGCAAGGUGGUCGCAGUGAAGAGGCCCAGGCGACUGUUUACCAAAAACACAGGUCUCCGCUAAGUCGCAAGACGAUGUAUGGGGGCUGACGCCUGCCCAGUGCCGGAAGGUUAAGGAAGCUGGUCAGCGUAAGCGAAGCUAGCGACUGAAGCCCCGGUGAACGGCGGCCGUAACUAUAACGGUCCUAAGGUAGCGAAAUUCCUUGUCGGGUGAGUUCCGACCCGCACGAAAGGCGUAACGAUCUGGGCGCUGUCUCGGAGAGAGGCUCGGCGAAAUAGAAUUGUCUGUGAAGAUGCGGACUACGUGCACCCGGACAGAAAGACCCUAUGAAGCUUUACUGUAGCUUGGUAUUGUGCUCGGGCUCGGAAUGCGCAGGAUAGGUGGGAGGCUAUGAACCAUUGCUUGUGGGUGAUGGUGAGCCACUGGUGAGAUACCACUCUUUCCGAGCUAGAGUUCUAACAGCCACCCGUUAUCCGGGGGCUGGACAGUAUCAGGUGGGCAGUUUGACUGGGGCGGUCGCCUCCUAAAAGGUAACGGAGGCGCGCAAAGGUUUGCUCAGGCUGGUUGGAAAUCAGCCGACGAGUGUAAAAGCAGAAGCAAGCUUGACUGUGAGACCUACAAGUCGAACAGGGAGGAAACUCGGCUUUAGUGAUCCGACGGUUCUGCGUGGAAGGGCCGUCGCUCAACGGAUAAAAGUUACUCUAGGAUAACAGGCUGAUCUCCCCCAAGAGUUCACAUCGACGGGGAGGUUUGGCACCUCGAUGUCGGCUCAUCGCAACCUGGGGCUGAAGUCGGUCCCAAGGGUUGGGCUGUUCGCCCAUUAAAGCGGUACGCGAGCUGGGUUCAGAACGUCGUGAGACAGUUCGGUCCAUAUCCGGUGCAUGCGCAGGAAUAUUGAGAGGAUUUCUCCCUAGUACGAGAGGACCGGGAGGAACGCACCUCUGGUGUACCAGUUAUCGUGCCAACGGUAAACGCUGGGUAGCCAUGUGCGGAGAGGAUAACCGCUGAAAGCAUCUAAGUGGGAAGCCCACCUCAAGAUGAGUAUUCCCAUGGGGUAACCCAGUAAGGUCACGGGAAGAACACCCGUUGAUAGGCUCUACGUGGAAGCGCAGUAAUGUGUGAAGCGGAGGAGUACUAAUAGACCGAGGGCUUGACC